UGAACAAAAGGUGGUGAAAACAGCUGAAACACUUUAGACAUGGUUUACUGAAAAAAAUGAAGCUCAAAAGAGUAAAUCCAUGAAAAUGACAAAGCAGGACCACCAACUUGCACGUGACAUCAUGCCGAUGUUCUCUCUUUUUAAAAUAAACACACGGAUCAGUACAAAAAGUCGAUGUAUGACAUCUAGAACCAAGUCGCGCAUGUUUUAAAAAUUAAAUCUGGUGUAAAGUUUUGUUUUGUAUCUUUUUAUGUAACUUUCAAUAGGUAAAACUCGUGCUACCAAGCACAUGGGUUCGUUCAUAUACAAUUUAACAGAAUCAUCCUCUAUAGCACACAACCUAAAAAUUAACUGUAUUGACGGUGAACAAUUAACAAAGUAUCAGUCCAACAUUAGUGGAUGCCCUAAGCACAUUUUUAACAACUUCAAGCUGAAUAUCAUUUAAUAAAGAGUCGUGAUGCUGUAUCUACGGUUAGACAAUCCAAAUCUUUAAAUAAAUAAAUCUAAACUCCAU
This 514-nucleotide long non-coding RNA is filed under the name Brassica napus (rape). Its description in RNAcentral is "long non-coding RNA (BNAP_LNC005418)". Lineage: Eukaryota; Viridiplantae; Streptophyta; Magnoliopsida; Brassicales; Brassicaceae. The record is from RNAcentral.